Molecule: long non-coding RNA, 752 nt
Filed under: Ictidomys tridecemlineatus (thirteen-lined ground squirrel)
Lineage: Eukaryota; Metazoa; Chordata; Mammalia; Rodentia; Sciuridae
Description: lncRNA (ENSSTOG00000031261.1)
Source: RNAcentral
ACAUUGAGCAGAAAAUUUUCUCCUCUACAAUCAACCCUGCAAGCCUUCCUUGCAAUAGCCUAUGUGCCUCAAGGGACCCUGGUGACUGCCAUGGGUGGAGUGGUAUAGUUUGGUAUGGUAUCACGCCAUGCAUACACGUUCAAGGUGGGAGGAAAGAAGAAAGAGGGAGAAACAUGAGAAGGGCAAGAUUCAAAGGAGUCUCCAAAGGCUGAUUAUUCUGGUGUUAAGAACACGGGUUUUGGACUCAGGCGGCCCCUGGUUCUCGUGUUAGCAUUAUUCUCUCUGAACCUCAGCACUGUCCUCUGUGAAGUAUCUGGUGAGGAUCUGACCAAACCAUAACGAACCUUGCACAGAACCUGGUGGAAAUCACAAUAAGUGCUCACGUUGCCAGUGGCAACCUUGUGGCAGGGGGCGCUGCUCUAAGUACUUUAUAUAUACUUACUCAUUUAAAUAUUACGAAAAUACGCUACAGGCUGGGUAUUAUUGCUAUCUCCAUUUUACAGAGAAGGAAACUGAGACACAGGCUUUGUGACUUGCCCAAGAACACGCAGCUAGCAAGUGGAAGAGCGGGGACUCCCCCUGGAGCCCAUGUUUUUAACCACAAGGCCGUCUGGCUUCCUGGACACUGUGCUCAGUGGCAAAGAACCAUUACGUGAUUAAAAAAAAUAAACACUCCCCUGUUUACUUCGAAGUACAUCAGAAAUUACCAAGAUAUGGUUGACUAUGGAUUCCUUUGGGAAGGAAUGUGAAGA